Molecule: ribosomal RNA, 1689 nt
Filed under: Dysepicritus rufescens
Lineage: Eukaryota; Metazoa; Arthropoda; Insecta; Hemiptera; Anthocoridae
Description: SSU rRNA
Rfam family: Eukaryotic small subunit ribosomal RNA
Source: RNAcentral
UUCGCCCCGGGCGUCGUUUGACGAAUCUAAAUAACAAAUCAGAUCGCAUGGUCCUUGUACCGGCGACUAUCUUUCAAAUGCCUGACUUAUCAACUGACGAUGGUAGACUCUGUGUCUACCAUGGCUCUUACGGGUAACGGGGAAUCAGGGUUCGAUUCCGGAGAGGGAGCCUGAGAAACGGCUACCACAUCCAAGGAAGGCAGCAGGCACGCAAAUUACCCACUCCCGGCACGGGGAGGUAGUGACAAAAAAUAACAAUACGGGACUCGAUAUGAGGCUCCGUAAUUGGAAUGAGUACACUUUAAACCCUUUUUCAAAAAGCCAUUGGAGGGCAAGUCUGGUGCCAGCAGCCGCGGUAAUUCCAGCUCCAAUAGCGUAUAUUAAAGUUGUUGCGGUUAAAAAGCUCGUAGUUGGUUCUGCGUCCCACGCUGUCGGUACACCGCUCGUCGGUGACACUGGCAUGCCGUGGUAUGUCCUGUCGGUGGCGGCCGAGUCCUUUGGUUUUCGGUUUUUUACCGGUUUCCAAUCGCACUCCGGUCGCCGGCUCCUAUCCUACCGCGGUGCUCUUUAUUGAGUGUCGAGGUAGGCCGACACGUUUACUUUGAACAAAUUAGAGUGCUUAAAGCAGGCUCAAAUCUCCGCCUGAAUAGUGGUGCAUGGAAUAAUGGAACAGGCCCUUGGUUCUAUUUUGUUGGUCUUAGGAACACAAGGUAAUGAUCAAUGUGGACAGGCGGGGGCAUUCGUAUUGCGGCGUUAGAGGUGAAAUUCUUGGUUCUUCGCAAGACGCACUAGAGCGAAAGCAUUUGCCAAGUAUGUCUUAAUUGAUCAAGAACGAAGUAAGUUAGGAGCAAACUCAAGAACGAAAGUUAGAGGUUCGAAGGCGAUCAGAUACCGCCCUAGUUCUAACCAUAAACGAUGCCAGCCAGCGAUCCGCCGAUGUUCCUCCGAUGACUCGGCGGGGAGCUUUCCCCGGGAAACCAAAGCUUUUGGGUUCCGGGGGAAGUAUGGUUGCAAAGCUGAAACUUAAAGGAAUUGACGGAAGGGCACCACCAGGAGUGGAGCCUGCGGCUUAAUUUGACUCAACACGGGAAACCUCACCAGGUCAGGACAUUGGAAUGAUUGACAGAUUGAUAGCUCUUUCUUGAUUCAGUGGGUAGUGGUGCAUGGCCGUUCUUAGUUGGUGGAUCGAUUUGUCUGGUUAAUUCCGAUAACGAACGAGACUCUAGCCUAUUAACUAGACGUUUCCGGUAUCGAAGCUACCGGCGAUAUAUAUUCUUCUUAGGGGGACAGGCGGCUUUUAGCCGCACGAGAUUGAGCAAUAACAGGUCUGUGAUGCCCUUAGAUGUCCUGGGCCGCACGCGCGCUACACUGAAGGAAUCAGCGUGUUCUUUCCCUUGGCCGAAAGGUCCGGGUAACCCGCUGAACCUCCUUCGUGCUAGGAAUUGGGGCUUGCAAUUGUUCCCCAUGAACGAGGAAUUCCCAGUAAGCGCGAGUCAUAAGCUCGCGUUGAUUACGUCCCUGCCCUUUGUACACACCGCCCGUCGCUACUACCGAUUGAAUGAUUUAGUGAGGUCUUCGGACCGGCGGUAGGCCCAAUCGAUUUACGUCGGUUUCGUCGAACGCUGGAAAGAUGACCAAACUUGAUCAUUUAGAGGAAGUAAAAGUCGUAACAAGGUUUCCGUAGUGACU